GAUGAAGAACGUAGCGAAAUGCGAUAAGUAGUGUGAAUUGCAGAAUUCAGUGAAUCAUCGAAUCUUUGAACGCACAUUGCGCCCUUUGGUAUUCCAAAGGGCAUGCCUGUUCGAGCGUCAUUUGUACCCUCAAGCUUUGCUUGGUGUUGGGCGUCUUGUCUCUAGCUUUGCUGGAGACUCGCCUUAAAGUAAUUGGCAGCCGGCCUACUGGUUUCGGAGCGCGGCACAAGUCGCACUCUCUAUCAGCAAAGGUCUAGCAUCCAUUAAGCCUUUUUUUCAACUUUUGACCUCGGAUCAGGUAGGGAUACCCGCUGAACUUAAGCAUAUCAAUAAGCGGAGGA
RNAcentral lists this unclassified non-coding RNA (341 nucleotides) under soil metagenome. RNAcentral describes it as "partial contains 5.8S ribosomal RNA, internal transcribed spacer 2, and large subunit ribosomal RNA". The stretch from base 1 to 120 matches the Rfam family "5.8S ribosomal RNA", at positions 35 to 154 of the family's 154-position model. The record is from RNAcentral.